Mycena leptocephala is the source of this 92-nucleotide non-coding RNA. NCBI's taxonomy places the organism in Eukaryota, Fungi, Basidiomycota, Agaricomycetes, Agaricales, Mycenaceae. The record is from the annotation of a GenBank genome assembly.
GACUCGGUGGCGGAUGGUCCGUGUCCACAACUUGUGGAUCAAGUUGAUUGCUUUCGCUGUGGAAGUUGCCUGUUCGAAUCAGGCCCGAGUCA